UCAGGCUCAAAAUUUAUUUUUCAUUUCUUGCACUUGAAGUACUCUUCGAUGACAUCUUUGGCCUGAGAUUCCUUGCCAUAAUCUUGACAACCACACAACUGCAGCCCACAACUUUGCGAGGUUUCCCUUCUCUGUCGAUCUUGCAGAGUCCUACCCAUUCACCCAGCUUUUUGUUGUCAUCAACCUUUAUCAGGUUGAUCUGGUGCUCUGCACAAAGUGCUUCAACUAGCUUUACAUACAUGGGCUCAUCACAAUUUGAAGCCAGGACACAGAGAUGGGCUUGGCGCUUGUCCAAGGCUUUGGCUGCUUCACGAAUACCACGAGCGAGGCCAUCAUGGAUAAGUGCGGUCUUCAGCACUUCUUGGAGGGCGGUGUUAACAUCCAUUACACCUCCAGCAGUAAUGCCUUCCUCGGCCAUGGCCCUCUCGGUGGGUGCCGCUCCCGCCCGGCUUCCUGCCCGCUGCCGCCGCGAGCCACAAGCGA
This 483-nucleotide long non-coding RNA is filed under the name Gallus gallus (chicken). Lineage: Eukaryota; Metazoa; Chordata; Aves; Galliformes; Phasianidae. The record is from RNAcentral.